RNAcentral lists this ribosomal RNA (324 nucleotides) under uncultured Bacteroidota bacterium. RNAcentral's name for it is "bacterial SSU rRNA". It matches the Rfam family "Bacterial small subunit ribosomal RNA", at positions 28 to 351 of the family's 1533-position model. Lineage: Bacteria; Pseudomonadati; Bacteroidota. The record is from RNAcentral.
GAUGAACGCUAGCUACAGGCUUAACACAUGCAAGUCGAGGGGUAGCAGGGUAGCAAUACCGCUGACGACCGGCGCACGGGUGAGUAACACGUAUCCAACCUUCCCAUAACUCGGGGAUAGCCUUUCGAAAGAAAGAUUAAUACCCGAUAGUACUUUAUUAAGGCAUCUUAAGAAAGUUAAAGAUUUAUUGGUUAUGGAUGGGGAUGCGUUCCAUUAGAUAGUUGGUGAGGUAACGGCUCACCAAGUCUUCGAUGGAUAGGGGUUCUGAGAGGAAGGUCCCCCACAUUGGUACUGAGACACGGACCAAACUCCUACGGGUGGCUG